This 2699-nucleotide ribosomal RNA is filed under the name Clostridioides difficile. RNAcentral describes it as "bacterial LSU rRNA". It matches the Rfam family "Bacterial large subunit ribosomal RNA". Lineage: Bacteria; Bacillati; Bacillota; Clostridia; Peptostreptococcales; Peptostreptococcaceae. The record is from RNAcentral.
UCAAGUUAUUAAGGGUGCAGGGCGGAUGCCUUGGCACUAGGAGCCGAUGAAGGACGUGAUAAGCUGCGAUAAGCUUCGGGGAGUUGCACGUAAACUUUGAUCCGAAGAUUUCCGAAUGAGGAAACUCACUUAGAGUAAUGUCUAAGUAUCAUUAAGUGAAUACAUAGCUUAAUGAGGGGAACUCAGGGAACUGAAACAUCUAAGUACCUGAAGGAAGAGAAAGAAAUUCGAUUCCGUAAGUAGCGGCGAGCGAACGCGGAUUAGCCCAAACCAAUAAAGUUUUCUUUAUUGGGGUUGCGGACAUAUCAUAACGAAGAGGUAUCGUAAUUGAAGAGGUUUGGAAAGACCCACCACAGAAGGUAAUAGUCCUGUAUGUUAAACGAGAAGACUUUAGAUAUGAUCCAGAGUACCACGGGACACGUGAAACCCUGUGGGAAGCAGGAGGGACCACCCUCCAAGGCUAAAUACUACCUAGUGACCGAUAGCGUAUAGUACCGUGAGGGAAAGGUGAAAAGAACCCCGGGAGGGGAGUGAAAUAGAACCUGAAACCCUGCACUUACAAGCUGUGGAAGCACAUUUCUUGUGUGACCGCGUACUUUUUGUAGAACGGGCCAACGAGUUACGUUAAGUAGCAAGGUUAAGCACUUAAGGUGCGGAGCCGUAGCGAAAGCGAGUUUUAACUGAGCGUUCAGUUACUUGACGUAGACCCGAAACCGGGCGACCUACCCAUGAGCAGGAUGAAGCGAAAGUAAAAUUUCGUGGAGGUCCGAACCCACGAGCGUUGAAAAGCUCGGGGAUGACUUGUGGGUAGCGGUGAAAUUCCAAUCGAGCCCGGAGAUAGCUGGUUCUCCCCGAAAUAGCUUUAGGGCUAGCCUCAAGGUGAGAGAUACGGAGGUAGAGCACUGAAUGUCCUAGGGGGUAUUGCACCUACCGAAGACUAUCAAACUCCGAAUGCCGUCAUCUUAUACUUGGGAGUCAGACUGUGGGUGAUAAGAUUCAUAGUCGAAAGGGCAACAGCCCAGAUCGUCAGCUAAGGUCCCUAAAUGUAAGUUAAGUGGUAAAGGAUGUGGGAUUGCACAGACAACCAGGAUGUUGGCUUAGAAGCAGCCACUCAUUCAAAGAGUGCGUAAUAGCUCACUGGUCGAGUGAUCCUGCGCCGAAGAUUUCCGGGGCUAAAACUUACUACCGAAGCUACGGCAUCAGUAAUGAUGGGUAGGGGAGCUUCCCAUAUGGGUUGAAGCAUGACCGUAAGGACAUGUGGACAGUAUGGGAGGGAGAAUGUUGGCAUGAGUAGCGAGAUGUGGGUGAGAAUCCCACAGGCCGUAAACCCAAGGUUUCCAGGGGAAGGUUCGUCCGCCCUGGGUUAGUCGGGACCUAAGCUGAGGCCGAAAGGCGUAGGUGAUGGACAACAGGUUGAUAUUCCUGUACUACCGAUAACCGUUUGAGAGAAGGGAUGACACAGUAGGAUAAGCUAAGCACACUGUUGGUUAUGUGUGCCCAAGCAUUGAGGCAGUCAAAGUAGGCAAAUCCGCUUUGAUAAUGCUGGGAUGUGAUGGGGAGCGAAAUUUAGUAGCGAAGUAGCUGAUUUCACACUGUCAAGAAAAGUCUCUAUCGAGGUUAAAGGUACCCGUACCGCAAACCGACACAGGUGGGUGAGGAGAGUAUCCUAAGGCCAGCGAGAGAACUGUUGUUAAGGAACUCGGCAAAAUGACCCCGUAACUUAGGGAUAAGGGGUGCCACCAUCAGGUGGCCGCAGAGAAUAGGCCCAAGCGACUGUUUACCAAAAACAUAGGUUUCUGCUAAGUCGCAAGACGAUGUAUAGGAGCUGACGCCUGCCCGGUGCUGGAAGGUUAAGGGGAUCUGUUAGAGCAAUCGAAGCAGUGAACUUAAGCCCCAGUAAACGGCGGCCGUAACUAUAACGGUCCUAAGGUAGCGAAAUUCCUUGUCGGGUAAGUUCCGACCCGCACGAAAGGCGUAACGAUUUGGGCACUGUCUCAACAACAGACUCGGUGAAAUUGUAAUUCCGGUGAAGAUGCCGGAUACCUGCGACAGGACGGAAAGACCCCAUGGAGCUUUACUGUAGCUUGACAUUGGGUCUUGGUACUACAUGUACAGGAUAGGUGGGAGGCUUUGAAACCAGGACGCCAGUUUUGGCGGAGCCAUCCUUGGGAUACCACCCUUGUAGUACUGGGACUCUAACCAUAGGCCAUGAAUCUGGUCUUGGGACACUGUCAGGUGGGCAGUUUGACUGGGGCGGUCGCCUCCCAAAAGGUAACGGAGGCGCUCAAAGGUUCUCUCAGUACGGUCGGAAAUCGUACGUAGAGUGUAAAGGCAAAAGAGAGCUUGAUUGCAAGACAUACAGGUCGAGCAAGGAUGAAAAUCGGACUUAGUGAUCCGGUGGUUCUGCGUGGAAGGGCCAUCGCUCAACGGAUAAAAGCUACCCUGGGGAUAACAGGCUUAUCUCCCCCAAGAGUCCACAUCGACGGGGAGGUUUGGCACCUCGAUGUCGGCUCAUCACAUCCUGGGGCUGUAGUAGGUCCCAAGGGUUGGGCUGUUCGCCCAUUAAAGUGGUACGCGAGCUGGGUUCAGAACGUCGUGAGACAGUUCGGUCCCUAUCCGUCGCAGGCGUAGGAAAUUUGAGAAGACCUGUCCUUAGUACGAGAGGACCGGGAUGGACGUACCUCUGGUGUACCAGUUGU